Molecule: ribosomal RNA, 805 nt
Filed under: uncultured bacterium
Lineage: Bacteria
Description: bacterial SSU rRNA
Rfam family: Bacterial small subunit ribosomal RNA
Source: RNAcentral
AGAGUUUGAUCCUGGCUCAGGAUGAACGCUGGCGGCGUGCUUAACACAUGCAAGUCGAACGAAGCACUUUAUUUGAUUUCCUUCGGGACUGAUUAUUUUGUGACUGAGUGGCGGACGGGUGAGUAACGCGUGGGUAACCUGCCUUGUACAGGGGGAUAACGGUUGGAAACGGCUGCUAAUACCGCAUAAGCGCACAGCAUCGCAUGAUGCAGUGUGAAAAACUCCGGUGGUAUAAGAUGGACCCGCGUUGGAUUAGCUAGUUGGUGAGGUAACGGCCCACCAAGGCGACGAUCCAUAGCCGACCUGAGAGGGUGACCGGCCACAUUGGGACUGAGACACGGCCCAAACUCCUACGGGAGGCAGCAGUGGGGAAUAUUGCACAAUGGGCGAAAGCCUGAUGCAGCGACGCCGCGUGAGCGAAGAAGUAUUUCGGUAUGUAAAGCUCUAUCAGCAGGGAAGAUAAUGACGGUACCUGACUAAGAAGCACCGGCUAAAUACGUGCCAGCAGCCGCGGUAAUACGUAUGGUGCAAGCGUUAUCCGGAUUUACUGGGUGUAAAGGGAGCGCAGGCGGUGCGGCAAGUCUGAUGUGAAAGCCCGGGGCUCAACCCCGGUACUGCAUUGGAAACUGUCGUACUAGAGUGUCGGAGGGGUAAGCGGAAUUCCUAGUGUAGCGGUGAAAUGCGUAGAUAUUAGGAGGAACACCAGUGGCGAAGGCGGCUUACUGGACGAUAACUGACGCUGAGGCUCGAAAGCGUGGGGAGCAAACAGGAUUAGAUACCCUGGUAGUCCACGCCGUAAACGAUG